Molecule: long non-coding RNA, 575 nt
Filed under: Homo sapiens (human)
Lineage: Eukaryota; Metazoa; Chordata; Mammalia; Primates; Hominidae
Description: non-protein coding LINC01343:3
Source: RNAcentral
CUAAUAUCCUGUUUCUGGCAAUUAAACUACUGUCGUGUUCUUCUACCUGCCUGCCAGACAUGCAGGCCCAAGGUACCAGGAGGCAGAUGCUGACAGAUGCAUCUCAGUAUGCCCGGCACCUCCACCACACAAGGGCUGUGCUGGUUGCUGUGGGAAUGCUGCAGGGCACAAAACGGAUAAUGCUGGAGGGAGAAGACAGCAAACACAAGGCUCAAGAAACUCCAGUAUGUAAGAAGAGGACAUGCACAAUGGAAGAGGGAAGCCACCAUGCAGAAUGUCGGGGUGCACUUUUAAAUGGGACAGUCAAGGUAAGCCUCACAGCAAAGGUGACCUCUGAGCAGAGGUCUGAGGGAGGUGAGGAAUGAGAAGAGUGAACAGCCAGUAUGAAGAUCCAAGGUGGGAGUGUGCCCCUGGUGUGUUCACGGAAAGCACCAAGGUAGGCGUGGCUGGCACAGAGUAAGAGAGGGAGGUCUUAGCAAGCGGGGAGGUUCAGGUAGUACAGGGCCUUGUGGCCUUGGCAAAGACUUUGCCUCUUGGAGGAUUAUAAGCAGGUGUGACUGGGUCUAGUGUUUGUG